CUACGGGAGGCUGCAGUGGGGAAUAUUGCACAAUGGAGGAAACUCUGAUGCAGCAACGCCGCGUGGAGGAUGACACUUUCCGGAGCGUAAACUCCUUUUAUAUAGGAAGAAGAUGACGGUACUAUAUGAAUAAGCGCCGGCUAACUCCGUGCCAGCAGCCGCGGUAAUACGGAGGGCGCAAGCGUUACUUGGAAUCACUGGGCGUAAAGAGCGUGUAGGCGGAUUAAAAAGUCAGAAGUGAAAUCCUAUAGCUUAACUAUAGAACUGCUUCUGAAACUCUUAAUCUAGAAUAUGGGAGAGGUAGAUGGAAUUUCUGGUGUAGGGGUAAAAUCCGUAGAGAUCAGAAGGAAUACCGAUUGCGAAGGCGAUCUACUAGAACAUUAUUGACGCUGAGACGCGAAAGCGUGGGGAGCAAACAGGAUUAGAUACCCGUGUAGUC
Molecule: ribosomal RNA, 439 nt
Filed under: uncultured bacterium
Lineage: Bacteria
Description: partial 16S ribosomal RNA
Rfam family: Bacterial small subunit ribosomal RNA
Source: RNAcentral